UACGUAGGGUGCGAGCGUUGUCCGGAUUUAUUGGGCGUAAAGAGCUCGUAGGCGGUUUGUCGCGUCGGCCGUGAAAUCUCCACGCUUAACGUGGAGCGUGCGGUCGAUACGGGCAGACUUGAGUUCGGUAGGGGAGACUGGAAUUCCUGGUGUAGCGGUGAAAUGCGCAGAUAUCAGGAGGAACACCGGUGGCGAAGGCGGGUCUCUGGCCCGAUACUGACGCUGAUGCACGAAAGCGUGGGGAGCAAACAGG
RNAcentral lists this ribosomal RNA (253 nucleotides) under uncultured bacterium. RNAcentral's name for it is "partial 16S ribosomal RNA". It matches the Rfam family "Bacterial small subunit ribosomal RNA", at positions 524 to 776 of the family's 1533-position model. The record is from RNAcentral.